Molecule: ribosomal RNA, 254 nt
Filed under: uncultured bacterium
Lineage: Bacteria
Description: partial 16S ribosomal RNA
Rfam family: Bacterial small subunit ribosomal RNA
Source: RNAcentral
GACGUAGGGCGCGAGCGUUGUCCGGAUUUAUUGGGCGUAAAGAGCUCGUAGGUGGUGGCUUAAGCGUGCGGUGAAAGCUCGGGGCUCAACUCCGAGUCGGCCGUGCGAACUGGGCUCACUGGAGCAUAGUAGAGGCAGGUGGAAUUCCGAGUGUAGAGGUGAAAUUCGUAGAUAUUCGGAAGAACACCAGUGGCGAAGGCGACUUACUGGACACAUAUUGACGCUGAGGUGCGAAGGCGUGGGGAGCAAACAGG